UGGAGCAUGUGGUUUAAUUCGAAGCAACGCGAAGAACCUUACCAGGUCUUGACAUCCCUGACAACCCGAGAGAUCGGGCGUUCCCCUUCGGGGGACAGGGUGACAGGUGGUGCAUGGUUGUCGUCAGCUCGUGUCGUGAGAUGUUGGGUUAAGUCCCGCAACGAGCGCAACCCUCGACCUUAGUUGCCAGCAUUCAGUUGGGCACUCUAAGGUGACUGCCGGCUAAAAGUCGGAGGAAGGUGGGGAUGACGUCAAAUCAUCAUGCCCCUUAUGACCUGGGCUACACACGUGCUACAAUGGGCGGUACAAGGGGUCGCGAACCCGCGAGGGGGAGCCAAUCCCAAAAAGCCGCUCUCAGUUCGGAUUGCAGGCUGCAACUCGCCUGCAUGAAGCCGGAAUCGCUAGUAAUCGCAGGUCAGCAUACUGCGGUGAAUACGUUCCCGGGCCUU
This 449-nucleotide ribosomal RNA is filed under the name uncultured Anoxybacillus sp. RNAcentral's name for it is "bacterial SSU rRNA". It matches the Rfam family "Bacterial small subunit ribosomal RNA", at positions 933 to 1382 of the family's 1533-position model. The record is from RNAcentral. Lineage: Bacteria; Bacillati; Bacillota; Bacilli; Caryophanales; Anoxybacillaceae.